AAGUCGUAACAAGGUUUCCGUAGGUGAACCUGCGGAAGGAUCAUUAAAAGAGAACUUAAUUCUUUGAAGCCCUAAAAAAGCUGAAAAAGAAUUAAUUCCCAACCCUUGUCUAUACAAAAAACAAAUUUGUUGCUUCGGCGAAUUACACAGAAAAGAAAAGUAAUUAGCUUUAUUUCUCCUUUUCUGUUCGCCAGAAGAUAUCAAACUAAAACUCUUUGAAUAACUAAUUGUCUGAAUUAUUUGAAUAUUGGAUAAAACCAAUAAACAUAAAAUCAAAUUACAACUUUCAACAACGGAUCUCUUGGUUCUG
This 310-nucleotide unclassified non-coding RNA is filed under the name air metagenome. Its description in RNAcentral is "partial contains small subunit ribosomal RNA, internal transcribed spacer 1, and 5.8S ribosomal RNA". The stretch from base 1 to 46 matches the Rfam family "Eukaryotic small subunit ribosomal RNA", at positions 1786 to 1831 of the family's 1831-position model. The record is from RNAcentral.